RNAcentral lists this unclassified non-coding RNA (213 nucleotides) under Hevea brasiliensis (rubber tree). Lineage: Eukaryota; Viridiplantae; Streptophyta; Magnoliopsida; Malpighiales; Euphorbiaceae. The record is from RNAcentral.
GAUGCUAUUUCUUCCCAGCUCCAGCAGCAGCCCCUGCUCCUCCCUCCGCCUGGCCUGCGCCCCCUUCUCCUUGUGCCUGCCCAUCACCUGCGGUCCCUUCAGCAUCCCCUGCUGGGUCCUUGGCAUUCACCAAAUUCUGGCUUAAAACCAAGCCGAUGACGCACAACACAAGCAAGCUGAUUGUGAAUUUCAUCUUAGGCCGUUGUUUGCGAC